This 353-nucleotide transfer-messenger RNA is filed under the name bovine gut metagenome. It matches the Rfam family "transfer-messenger RNA". Rfam says of the family: Bacterial tmRNA, also known as 10Sa RNA or SsrA, is named for its dual tRNA and mRNA-like properties. Its role is to liberate the mRNA from a stalled ribosome. The record is from RNAcentral.
GGGGUAGUUACGGAUUCGAUUGUUCGCGGAGGGCCUUGUAAGCAUACCGAAGCCCCGGCUUCGUAAAAACGGGAAAUUAAAUUUAAAUGCAAAGACUAAUAAUUUUGCAUACGCUGCUUAAUUUAUAGCGGCUGUUCGGCGCGCGUUACCCGGCGGCGCGCGUACGGGCAUCAUUUUCAGUCGGGGAACGUCCGGCCUCGAACCGAUCGCGGCGGACCGGAUGUAUUCAGCGAUCCACGUCGGCGCGGGUUUGUUCUUCGAAACGCGGCGAAAGGGAUUAAAGAAGAAAUAAGUAUGUAGAAAGCAGGUUUGAAACGGGUAAGACGGCGGUUCAACUCCGCCCUACUCCACCA